This 497-nucleotide ribosomal RNA is filed under the name uncultured bacterium. RNAcentral describes it as "partial 16S ribosomal RNA". It matches the Rfam family "Bacterial small subunit ribosomal RNA", at positions 28 to 507 of the family's 1533-position model. The record is from RNAcentral.
GACGAACGCUGGCGGCGUGCCUAAUACAUGCAAGUUGAGCGCUGAAGGUUGGUACUUGUACCAACUGGAUGAGCAGCGAACGGGUGAGUAACGCGUGGGGAAUCUGCCUUUGAGCGGGGGACAACAUUUGGAAACGAAUGCUAAUACCGCAUAAAAACUUUAAACACAAGUUUUAAGUUUGAAAGAUGCAAUUGCAUCACUCAAAGAUGAUCCCGCGUUGUAUUAGCUAGUUGGUGAGGUAAAGGCUCACCAAGGCGAUGAUACAUAGCCGACCUGAGAGGGUGAUCGGCCACAUUGGGACUGAGACACGGCCCAAACUCCUACGGGAGGCAGCAGUAGGGAAUCUUCGGCAAUGGACGAAAGUCUGACCGAGCAACGCCGCGGGAGUGAAGAAGGUUGUCGGAUCGUAAAACUCUGUUGGUAGAGAAGAACGUUGGUGAGAGUGGAAAGCUCAUCAAGUGACGGUAACUACCCAGAAAGGGACGGCUAACUACGUG